AGGUUGGUGAUCUGAUCACUCCUAUUUAAUUUAUGCAAAUCAAAAUAUCUUGUUUACGGUCCUUUUUUUUUUCUUCUUAAUCUUGUAAUUUUAUUUGGAAUUUCUCUUUUUUCUUCACUUGCUGUUGUGACCUUUAAUUUCUGAAUUUCAUAGAAAUAAUGCUUUUUUAAAUGGUCUAGUGAUCUAGUCUGAUAUUAAAUUUUAUUUUUAUUUUUAUUUA
Molecule: unclassified non-coding RNA, 220 nt
Filed under: Hevea brasiliensis (rubber tree)
Lineage: Eukaryota; Viridiplantae; Streptophyta; Magnoliopsida; Malpighiales; Euphorbiaceae
Source: RNAcentral